Molecule: unclassified non-coding RNA, 1522 nt
Filed under: Leishmania donovani
Lineage: Eukaryota; Euglenozoa; Kinetoplastea; Trypanosomatida; Trypanosomatidae
Description: gene:LdHU3.25.0690(CDS-product:Tyrosine_phosphata se_family_putative)
Source: RNAcentral
CGACACGCAUACACGCACCGAUACAUCUGUGCGCUCGCCCUGACGCCUACCAGAGGCGUGGAACGGGAGUAUAGUAAUGAAGGUCAUUCCACCCAACUUUAGCUAUGUGGAGGAGGGCAUCUUCCGCUGUGGUGCGCCAGAGCCGCGCCACUACGGCUUUCUCGCAUCUCUGGGGCUGCGCACAUGCAUCCUGCUCACGGACAUCCACGACGACGCCUUUGUGCACUGGCUGCAGGAGUCUGGGGUUACGAUCUUCUGCCCCCUCGUCAGCGAAUCACAGACUUGCGGCACGUUCCGGGGUGCGGCGCAGGCGUACACACUCAUCACUGCAGCCGACGACGUUACGCGUGGGAACACGAUAGGCCCCUCGUCCAGUGGGCCCGCGAAUGUGAAUGGGAGCAAUGUCGGGAAGGCUAAGGAGGAGGGUCGCGAAGGCACCACCGCCAGCUGCAGCGGUGGCGACGGCAACCGCCCGUACAUGGACUCGUUGGGCAAUGGCAACGCCAGUCAAGUCGAAGGCGAUGGCUGGCCGGAUGGCAACGGAGAGGGCAUAGAGGAGGACCGCGGCGCCUCCACUGAGGGCCAGAGCUGGCCUCCCACGUCCACCGGCACCGCCACUGCGGGCACGUCGAAUGCCGUGCGUUUCCUGCAAGAAAACGUCGGCGACCGCCAGAAUAGCUCCAAAUUCUCGCCAGUACACAUCCCAGCGCCGCUCUACUUCCCCGCCAACGGACUGCGCGACAACGGCGGCGGCAGUGGCAGCUUUGAGGCAGCGGCGCCGUCCUACGAGGGCAAACUGCACGGCCUCAUGACCCUCUCCGAGGCGGUGGUCGUCAGCAUCCUGCACAUCCUGCUAGACCCGCAGUACUAUCCGCUGCUCAUCACCUGUUCCAAGGGACGCUACCGCUCCGGCAUUGUGUGUGGGUGUCUACGCAAGCUUCAGGGAUGGAAUCUCGUCUCCAUUCUCGAGGAGUACCGCCGCUUCGCCGGAAACAAGAGCCGCGCCGACAACGAGGAGUUCAUCGAGCUUUUCGACGAGGAGCUGGUGAGUUUGGAGCUCUCCAAUGGCCGUCGGCCCACCAUCCUGUACAACGCGUGAGGGUGCGGAGCGGGGCAAGUGGUGGUGGGCAAAGGGAUGCGUGUACCCAAUCACCUUUUCCUUCACGGGCUGCACGGAUUCGCGCUUUCUCCCGUUCUUCAGUCAUUCAGCGCCCUUAUCUUGGUCUGACCGCUCUCGACGACGUCAAGGAUAGCAACGAUGGUGGUGCCGAUGUGGGUUCGCCUUUGUUUCUCUUACAGGUUGCAUUUUUUUUCCAGGUUGCUCGCUGUUCGGUGUUGCCGCUGCCGGUCCUCUUAUCCUUUUUCUUUCUUUUCGCGUGCCCAUGGCUUCUACUGCAUGUGGGCUUGACGGCUGCACGCAUUGCUGCCUGCUGCUGAAGGCCUUUGCGAGUGCACGGGCACGCUGAUGAGCGUAUCUUUGCCCUCCUUUGCUAGUGUGCUUGUGUGUGUCUCUCUAUGUAUG